Molecule: long non-coding RNA, 357 nt
Filed under: Mytilus galloprovincialis (Mediterranean mussel)
Lineage: Eukaryota; Metazoa; Mollusca; Bivalvia; Mytilida; Mytilidae
Source: RNAcentral
CAGUGAUAUUCUUCCUCAAUCAUAACAACCUUCCAUCAUUACCGAACUGAACAAAGAAAUAACAUGAUGGGUGCCAUAUACGGUGCAGGAAAUGCUUACCCUUCCGGAGCACCUGAUUUCACUCCUGGUUUUUAGUGGAGUUCGUGUUGUUUCCUACUUAUUAUUUGUAACUGUUGAUGUAAAUGUCUUUUGGUUUUAUGAGUCUUUGGUUACUCCUUGGUUUUGAUUGUUAUUGUCUUAUACACGAUACCUCAUGGAUGUAUUUACAUGAUAUAAGCUUAUUAUUACACUUGCAUAUAUGAAUAACACGUGACAAGGUUUUAUAUGAAAUAAAAUUUAAAAAAUAAAAUCCUCCCA